Long non-coding RNA from Perca flavescens (yellow perch), 1202 nucleotides. RefSeq lists it as uncharacterized. NCBI's taxonomy places the organism in Eukaryota, Metazoa, Chordata, Actinopteri, Perciformes, Percidae. The record is from RefSeq and is a predicted model, not a curated record. The transcript is spliced from 4 exons.
AAAGGACAAACGUUGCCACAGUCUACUAGCUAAUGGUUAGGAUGGAGACUGCUUCGUUGCUGCUGUCAAACCCCAUGUGGAAGAUCAGAAAACGUGGCCAGGAGUUGUGAGAGAAGGCAAUGCAGAGAUGAAGGACAUCAUACCACAAGACUAUUUGUGUGUGUAUAAGCCUGAUCAACAAGUAAAAAGAGUCAGAUCUCUCAAUUGCCAUGAUGACCAAGAUAUUCAACGGGGAAAUGUGGAAAGCUGCCAUAUUCCCAGUCAUUACUUUUCCGAAUCAUCUGUGCAGCAGUAGCAGCAGCACCGAGGAAUCCUACUUUCCUGAGUCCGACACCGAGAGGGCCAUCAAGGACUUCCCUGACUGGCAACAGACUGGAGUAGAGGCUGUAGCAGAGACAGCCGUUUUUUUUUUUUUUUUUUUUUUUACUGAAAUAAUUGACAUUAUGAUGGACAGUGGACAAUAUGAUAAGCAGUACUUGAAUUUGUUCAGUAGUAUUAGUGUGACAAUCAGUUUUUGUUCUCCAACAUGUACAGACUGCUGUUGUGAAGCAGGGAUACACAGCUUAGUCAAAAGAGAGAAAUGCUGUAUAUUUCAGCGACUCCUACAGAUUGAGAAAAAUAAUGACUUUUCUUAAUAAAUAAAUGUUAUUCUUUGCUCAAAAGUGUCUUUAGGUUUAAAUAACAUUAUCCUGAUCCCAUAGGUAACCAAAAAUUGAGAAAGGCUAAGCAAGUGAUUUUUUUUUAAACUGAAACUGGGUGCACAGGUUUACAGACACAUCUCUACUGAUUGGGUAUCACCUAGAACCCAACCAAUAAUUGAGACACACCCACCAAAUGAGAGAAAACAUAACUCAAGCCGUUGCACACCGUUCCAAGGAAACCUGCUGUUUUGACAUUGAAUGUGCCCCAGCUCUUUGAUUGAGAGGAAGCACACAGUUUCAGACUUUAAAAAAACACUGGUUUAAGCUUUUAAUAGUAUUUUUGUACAUUCGCGCUUAGUAUAGACCAAUGUAGGCUAAUUAUCUCAAAAUCUACCUACAUGAUCAAAAGUUUUUUUAUUUUCAGAAUAGCUUUUAAUGUGUUAUAGUGUGCUAUUUUCUAUGAUCAUUUGAACUUGUAUAAAUUGUCUUUGAGUACCCUCAAAAGCGCUUUAUAAAUUGUACAUUGUGCUUGAUAUGUCUGGUGCCCUUCUGAUGCCAUUU